GGCCUACCAUGGUGGUAACGGGUAACGGGGUGUUAGGGCACGACACCGGAGAGGGAGCCUGAGAAACGGCUACCACAUCCAAGGAUGGCAGCAGGCGCGCAAAUUACCCAAUCCCGACACGGGGAGGUAGUGACAAUAAAUAACAAUACGGGGUUCUUUCGGAUCUCGUAAUUGGAAUGAGUACAAUUCAAAUCUCUUAACGAGGAACAAUUGGAGGGCAAGUCUGGUGCCAGCAGCCGCGGUAAUUCCAGCUCCAAUAGCGUAUAUUAAAGUUGUUGCAGUUAAAAAGCUCGUAGUUGAAUUUCGGGGCCAGUAGGUUGGUCGUGCCACUGGUAUGCACUGGCCUUACUGGUCCCUCCCUCUUGUAGAACCGUGAUGCCAUUAAUUUGGUGUUGCGGGGAAACAGGACUGUUACUUUGAAAAAAUUAGAGUGCUUAAAGCAGGCUCGCGCUUGAAUACAUUAGCAUGGAAUAACGGAAUAGGACGAUCGAACCUAUUUUGUUGGUUUCUAGGAUCGACGUAAUGAUUAAUAGGGAUAGUUGGGGGCAUUAGUAUUCAAUUGUCAGAGGUGAAAUUCUUGGAUUUAUUGAAGACUAACUACUGCGAAAGCAUUUGCCAAGGAUGUUUUCAUUAAUCAAGAACGAAAGUUAGGGGAUCGAAGACGAUCAGAUACCGUCGUAGUCUUAACCAUAAACUAUGCCGACUAGGGAUCGGAUGAAGUUAAUUUUUUAAUGACUCAUUCGGCGCCUUACGGGAAACCAAAGUGUUUGGGUUC
Molecule: ribosomal RNA, 775 nt
Filed under: uncultured Rhizophagus
Lineage: Eukaryota; Fungi; Glomeromycota; Glomeromycetes; Glomerales; Glomeraceae
Description: SSU rRNA
Rfam family: Eukaryotic small subunit ribosomal RNA
Source: RNAcentral